UUCCUUUCCCACCUAUUUGCUCAAGAAAUUUGGUAUGAAUUAAACUCCACAUUUCUCGCAACUGCAUCUCUUUACCCCUAAGGGAAUUAUGAAUAACUUCAACCCAGCUAGUGCACAACGCAACAUAUUCAAGAAGCGACCAAUUCGUACCUGCAUCAGUAGUCAUUUUGUGGAAAAAAAAAUUGGAUUGAAACUUUGAGAGAAAGAUAGGAAUUUGAUUGAAAGUAGUUGAGAAAAUAUGAAAUUGUGGUGUAAGGUAGAUGGAGAAGAAGCGGUAUUUAUAGAA
Molecule: long non-coding RNA, 286 nt
Filed under: Malus domestica (apple)
Lineage: Eukaryota; Viridiplantae; Streptophyta; Magnoliopsida; Rosales; Rosaceae
Description: long non-coding RNA (MDOM_LNC013915)
Source: RNAcentral